GGGGAGCAUCUGAAAGCUGAGAUGCUACCUGAUAAAAUCUUCCUAGAGAAAACUCUGUAUUUUCCUGCUUGUGGUACUUGAGCAAGUAUUGCGAGUCUCAAAUCUUCAGAGACAGAA
Molecule: non-coding RNA, 117 nt
Organism: Ricinus communis (castor bean)
Lineage: Eukaryota; Viridiplantae; Streptophyta; Magnoliopsida; Malpighiales; Euphorbiaceae
Source: Rfam